Molecule: ribosomal RNA, 380 nt
Filed under: uncultured eukaryote
Lineage: Eukaryota
Description: partial 18S ribosomal RNA
Rfam family: Eukaryotic small subunit ribosomal RNA
Source: RNAcentral
CAAUAGCGUAUAUUAAAGUUGUUGCGGUUAAAAAGCUCGUAGUUGGAUUUCUGCCGAGGACGACCGGUCCGCCCUCCGGGUGAGUAUCUGGCUCGGCCUGGGCAUCUUCUUGGAGAACGUAGCUGCACUUGGCGGUGUGGUGCGGUAUUCAGGACUUUUACUUUGAGGAAAUUAGAGUGUUUCAAGCAGGCAUACGCCUUGAAUACAUUAGCAUGGAAUAAUAAGAUAGGACCUCGGUUCUAUUUUGUUGGUUUCUAGAUCUGAGGUAAUGAUUAAUAGGGAUAGUUGGGGGCAUUCGUAUUUAACUGUCGGAGGUGAAAUUCUUGGAUUUGUUAAAGACGGACUACUGCGAAAGCAUUUGCCAAGGAUGUUUUCAUUGA